AACGAACGCUGGCGGCAUGCCUAACACAUGCAAGUCGAACGAGACCUUCGGGUCUAGUGGCGCACGGGUGCGUAACGCGUGGGAACCUGCCCUUAGGUUCGGAAUAACUCCCCGAAAGGGGUGCUAAUACCGGAUAAUGUCUUCGGACCAAAGAUUUAUCGCCUUUGGAUGGGCCCGCGUUGGAUUAGCUAGUUGGUAGGGUAAAAGCCUACCAAGGCGACGAUCCAUAGCUGGUCUGAGAGGAUGAUCAGCCACACUGGGACUGAGACACGGCCCAGACUCCUGCGGGAGGCAGCAGUGGGGAAUAUUGGACAAUGGGCGAAAGCCUGAUCCAGCAAUGCCGCGUGAGUGAUGAAGGCCUUAGGGUUGUAAAGCUCCUUUACCCGGGAUGAUAAUGACAGUACCGGGAGAAUAAGCUCCGGCUAACUCCGUG
This 433-nucleotide ribosomal RNA is filed under the name uncultured bacterium. Its description in RNAcentral is "partial 16S ribosomal RNA". It matches the Rfam family "Bacterial small subunit ribosomal RNA", at positions 29 to 507 of the family's 1533-position model. The record is from RNAcentral.